AUUGAACGCUGGCGGCAGGCCUAACACAUGCAAGUCGAACGGUAACAGGAAACAGCUUGCUGUUUCGCUGACGAGGGGCGGACGGGUGAGUAAUGUCUGGGAAACUGCCUGAUGGAGGGGGAUAACUACUGGAAACGGUAGCUAAUACCGCAAAACGUCGCAAGACCAAAGAGGGGGACCUUCGGGCCGCUUGCCAUCGGAUGUGCCCAGAUGGGAUUAGCUAGUAGGUGGGGUAACGGCUCACCUAGGCGACGAGCCCUAGCUGGUCUGAGAGGAUGACCAGCCACACUGGAACUGAGACACGGUCCAGACUCCUACGGGAGGCAGCAGUGGGGAAUAUUGCACAAUGGGCGCAAGCCUGAUGCAGCCAUGCCGCGUGUAUGAAGAAGGCCUUCGGGUUGUAAAGUACUUUCAGCGGGGAGGAAGGAAGUAAAGUUAAUACCUUUACUCAUUGACGUUACCCGCAGAAGAAGCACCGGCUAACUCCGUG
This 490-nucleotide ribosomal RNA is filed under the name uncultured bacterium. RNAcentral describes it as "partial 16S ribosomal RNA". It matches the Rfam family "Bacterial small subunit ribosomal RNA", at positions 30 to 507 of the family's 1533-position model. The record is from RNAcentral.